Molecule: ribosomal RNA, 676 nt
Filed under: Amylolactobacillus amylotrophicus
Lineage: Bacteria; Bacillati; Bacillota; Bacilli; Lactobacillales; Lactobacillaceae
Description: bacterial SSU rRNA
Rfam family: Bacterial small subunit ribosomal RNA
Source: RNAcentral
GCAGUCGAACGAGUUCUGGUUAAGAGUAGAGGUGCUUGCACUGAAACGAUUAACAAUGGAACGAGUGGCGGACGGGUGAGUAACACGUGGGUAACCUACCCUAUAGCGGGGGAUAACAUUUGGAAACAGAUGCUAAUACCGCAUAACAACGAUAAUCACAUGAUUAACGUUUGAAAGAUGGCGUAAGCUAUCACUAAAGGAUGGACCUGCGGCGUAUUAGUUAGUUGGUAAGGUAACGGCUUACCAAGACGAUGAUACGUAGCCGACUUGAGAGAGUGAUCGGCCACAUUGGGACUGAGACACGGCCCAAACUCCUACGGGAGGCAGCAGUAGGGAAUCUUCCACAAUGGACGAAAGUCUGAUGGAGCAACGCCGCGUGAGUGAAGAAGGGUUUCGGCUCGUAAAACUCUGUUAUUGGAGAAGAAGGAUGAGGUAAGUAACUGUACUUCAUUUGACGGUACCCAACCAGAAAGUCACGGCUAACUACGUGCCAGCAGCCGCGGUAAUACGUAGGUGGCGAGCGUUAUCCGGAAUUAUUGGGCGUAAAGCGAGUGCAGGCGGUUGUAUAAGUCUGAUGUGAAAGCCCUCGGCUCAACCGAGGAAUUGCAUCAGAAACUGUAUAACUUGAGUGCAGAAGAGGAGAGUGGAACUCCAUGUGUAGCGGUGGAAUGCGUAG